GGAAUAUUGGACAAUGGGCGCAAGCCUGAUCCAGCCAUGCCGCGUGCAGGAUGACGGUCCUAUGGAUUGUAAACUGCUUUUGCACAGGAAGAAACAUCCCGACGUGUCGGGACUUGACGGUACUGUGAGAAUAAGGAUCGGCUAACUCCGUGCCAGCAGCCGCGGUAAUACGGAGGAUCCAAGCGUUAUCCGGAAUCAUUGGGUUUAAAGGGUCCGUAGGCGGUUUAGUAAGUCAGUGGUGAAAGCCCAUCGCUCAACGGUGGAACGGCCAUUGAUACUGCUAAACUUGAAUUAUUAGGAAGUAACUAGAAUAUGUAGUGUAGCGGUGAAAUGCUUAGAGAUUACAUGGAAUACCAAUUGCGAAGGCAGGUUACUACUAAUGGAUUGACGCUGAUGGACGAAAGCGUGGGUAGCGAACAGGAUUAGAUACCCCGG
This 435-nucleotide ribosomal RNA is filed under the name uncultured Flavobacterium sp. RNAcentral describes it as "bacterial SSU rRNA". It matches the Rfam family "Bacterial small subunit ribosomal RNA", at positions 358 to 790 of the family's 1533-position model. Lineage: Bacteria; Pseudomonadati; Bacteroidota; Flavobacteriia; Flavobacteriales; Flavobacteriaceae. The record is from RNAcentral.